This is a long non-coding RNA of Drosophila montana, 588 nucleotides long. RefSeq lists it as uncharacterized. NCBI's taxonomy places the organism in Eukaryota, Metazoa, Arthropoda, Insecta, Diptera, Drosophilidae. The record is from RefSeq and is a predicted model, not a curated record. The transcript has 2 exons.
UUCCAAACAACACAUUUUUUCUAUUAUUCAUUCAACAAUUAGUUUUUGUACUCAGAAAUUUUAAAAAUGGUAGUAAAUGAGUGGGCUAUCUUAAAAGGACAGCCCAUGGAUAAGCUAGCACAAGCCUAAAACUGAUGCACAUCAAGCCGGCUGAGGCACAAGGACUGACAAAUUGCUCUAAAUUUAUGCCCAUAAUAGAACGCAGCAUGCGGUUCUUAUUUAUGUGCGUCCGUGUGUGUGUGUUUGAUAGUAUUAGUGCAGUUGCCACAUCUGCCAGAAGCCGAGUUGCAACAAUAGAACAAACAAGCCAGAGACAAACCGAUGCGACAUGCUCCCAUAUUUACAUAGAGAAUUGUCCAAAAGCCAACAAACGUGGCCAAGUCACGUUUGUCGGGCACAGACGGCACAGUUCUUGAAUCAGUUGCGCAGUGUGUGGCCCCAGGCGGAAAUUGAAAAUCAAAAUUAAGUUCUACUUCCCUUUAAAGGGAAUAUGCAAAUGGGGCGCCAAACCACAAAAGCGCAAAAGUUUAGACAACUUUUAUUUUGGAAUUAUUGAUAAAAAGCCUUGCUGGGCUUUCCACUUUUAAA